This 729-nucleotide ribosomal RNA is filed under the name uncultured Streptococcaceae bacterium. RNAcentral describes it as "bacterial SSU rRNA". It matches the Rfam family "Bacterial small subunit ribosomal RNA", at positions 49 to 760 of the family's 1533-position model. The record is from RNAcentral. Lineage: Bacteria; Bacillati; Bacillota; Bacilli; Lactobacillales; Streptococcaceae.
UAAUACAUGCAAGUAGAACGCUGAGAACUGGUGCUUGCACCGGUUCAAAGAGUUGCGAACGGGUGAGUAACGCGUAGGUAACCUACCUCAUAGCGGGGGAUAACUAUUGGAAACGAUAGCUAAUACCGCAUAAGAGAGACUAACGCAUGUUAGUAAUUUAAAAGGGGCAAUUGCUCCACUAUGAGAUGGACCUGCGUUGUAUUAGCUAGUUGGUGAGGUAAAGGCUCACCAAGGCGACGAUACAUAGCCGACCUGAGAGGGUGAUCGGCCACACUGGGACUGAGACACGGCCCAGACUCCUACGGGAGGCAGCAGUAGGGAAUCUUCGGCAAUGGGGGCAACCCUGACCGAGCAACGCCGCGUGAGUGAAGAAGGUUUUCGGAUCGUAAAGCUCUGUUGUUAGAGAAGAAUGAUGGUGGGAGUGGAAAAUCCACCAAGUGACGGUAACUAACCAGAAAGGGACGGCUAACUACGUGCCAGCAGCCGCGGUAAUACGUAGGUCCCGAGCGUUGUCCGGAUUUAUUGGGCGUAAAGCGAGCGCAGGCGGUUUUUUAAGUCUGAAGUUAAAGGCAUUGGCUCAACCAAUGUACGCUUUGGAAACUGGAGAACUUGAGUGCAGAAGGGGAGAGUGGAAUUCCAUGUGUAGCGGUGAAAUGCGUAGAUAUAUGGAGGAACACCGGUGGCGAAAGCGGCUCUCUUGGUCUGUAACUGACGCUGAGGCUCGAAAGC